Molecule: ribosomal RNA, 253 nt
Filed under: uncultured bacterium
Lineage: Bacteria
Description: partial 16S ribosomal RNA
Rfam family: Bacterial small subunit ribosomal RNA
Source: RNAcentral
UACGUAGGGUGCGAGCGUUGCCCGGAUUUAUUGGGCGUAAAGGGCGCGUAGGCGGCCACGCACGUCCGUUGUGAAAUCGCCCGGCUCAACUGGGCGGGGUCAGCGGAUACGGUGUGGCUAGAGCAAGCUAGGGGGCAAUGGAAUUCCCGGUGUAGUGGUGGAAUGCGUAGAUAUCGGCAGGAACACCCGUGGCGCAAGCGGCCACCUAGCCCGUUGCUGACGCUGAGGCGCGACAGCGUGGGGAGCGAACUGG